UCCUUGGUAGCUUGGACAGUAAAGCGUCUGCCUACAAUGUGGGAGACCCAGGUUCAAUCCCUGGGUCAGGAA
This 72-nucleotide transfer RNA is filed under the name Ovis aries (sheep). It matches the Rfam family "tRNA". Rfam says of the family: Transfer RNA (tRNA) molecules are approximately 80 nucleotides in length. Their secondary structure includes four short double-helical elements and three loops (D, anti-codon, and T loops). Further hydrogen bonds mediate the characteristic L-shaped molecular structure. tRNAs have two regions of fundamental functional importance: the anti-codon, which is responsible for specific mRNA codon recognition, and the 3' end, to which the tRNAs corresponding amino acid is attached (by aminoacyl-tRNA synthetases). tRNAs cope with the degeneracy of the genetic code in two manners: having more than one tRNA (with a specific anti-codon) for a particular amino acid; and 'wobble' base-pairing, i.e. permitting non-standard base-pairing at the 3rd anti-codon position. The record is from Rfam by way of RNAcentral. Lineage: Eukaryota; Metazoa; Chordata; Mammalia; Artiodactyla; Bovidae.